Molecule: ribosomal RNA, 458 nt
Filed under: Streptococcus sanguinis
Lineage: Bacteria; Bacillati; Bacillota; Bacilli; Lactobacillales; Streptococcaceae
Description: bacterial SSU rRNA
Rfam family: Bacterial small subunit ribosomal RNA
Source: RNAcentral
GACGAACGCUGGCGGCGUGCCUAAUACAUGCAAGUAGAACGCUGAAGAGAGGAGCUUGCUCUUCUUGGAUGAGUUGCGAACGGGUGAGUAACGCGUAGGUAACCUGCCUGGUAGCGGGGGAUAACUAUUGGAAACGAUAGCUAAUACCGCAUAAAAUUGAUUAUUGCAUGAUAAUUAAUUGAAAGAUGCAAUUGCAUCACUACCAGAUGGCCUGCGUUGUAUUAGCUAGUUGGUGAGGUAACGGCUCACCAAGGCGACGAUACAUAGCCGACCUGAGAGGGUGAUCGGCCACACUGGGACUGAGACACGGCCCAGACUCCUACGGGAGGCAGCAGUAGGGAAUCUUCGGCAAUGGGGGGAACCCUGACCGAGCAACGCUGCGUGAGUGAAGAAGGUUUUCGGAUCGUAAAGCUCUGUUGUAAGAGAGGAACGGGUGUGAGAGUGGAAAGUUCACACUG